GACGAACGCUGGCGGCGUGCUUAACACAUGCAAGUCGAACGGUAAGGCUCCAGCUUGCUGGGGUACACGAGUGGCGAACGGGUGAGUAACACGUGGGUGACCUGCCCUGCACUUCGGGAUAAGCCUGGGAAACUGGGUCUAAUACCGGAUAGGACCGCACCGUGAGGGUGUGGCGGAAAGUUUUUUCGGUGUGGGAUGGGCCCGCGGCCUAUCAGCUUGUUGGUGGGGUAAUGGCCUACCAAGGCGGCGACGGGUAGCCGGCCUGGGAGGGUGGACGGCCACAUUGGGACUGAGACGCGGCCCAGACUCCUACGGGAGGCAGCAGUGGGGAAUAUUGCACAAUGGGCGGAAGCCUGAUGCAGCGACGCCGCGUGGGGGAUGACGGCCUUCGGGUUGUAAACUCCUUUCACCAUCGACGAAGGGUUUCUGACGGUAGAUGGAGAAGAAGCACCGGCUAACUACGUGCCAGCAGCCGCGGUAAUACGUAGGGUGCGAGCGUUGUCCGGAAUUACUGGGCGUAAAGAGCUCGUAGGUGGUUUGUCGCGUCGUCUGUGAAAUUCCGGGGCUUAACUCCGGGCGUGCAGGCGAUACGGGCAUAACUUGAGUACUGUAGGGGAGACUGGAAUUCCUGGUGUAGCGGUGAAAUGCGCAGAUAUCAGGAGGAACACCGGUGGCGAAGGCGGGUCUCUGGGCAGUAACUGACGCUGAGGAGCGAAAGCAUGGGGAGCGAACAGGAUUAGAUACCCUGGUAGUCCAUGCCGUAAACGGUGGGCGCUAGGUGUGGGUUUCCUUCCACGGGAUCCGUGCCGUAGCUAACGCAUUAAGCGCCCCGCCUGGGGAGUACGGCCGCAAGGCUAAAACUCAAAGGAAUUGACGGGGGCCCGCACAAGCGGCGGAGCAUGUGGAUUAAUUCGAUGCAACGCGAAGAACCUUACCUGGGCUUGACAUAUACAGGAUCGCGCCAGAGAUGGUGUUUCCCUUGUGGCUUGUAUACAGGUGGUGCAUGGCUGUCGUCAGCUCGUGUCGUGAGAUGUUGGGCUAAGUCCCGCAACGAGCGCAACCCUUGUCUUAUGUUGCCAGCACGUUGUGGUGGGGACUCGUAAGAAACUGCCGGGGUUAACUCGGAGGAAGGUGGGGAUGACGUCAAAUCAUCAUGCCCCUUAUGUCCAGGGCUUCACACAUGCUACAAUGGUCGGUACAGUGGGUUGCCAGUCCGUGAGGGCGAGCUAAUCCCGCAAAGCCGGUCUCAGUUCGGAUCGGGGUCUGCAACUCGACCCCGUGAAGUCGGAGUCGCUAGUAAUCGCAGAUCAGCAACGCUGCGGUGAAUACGUUCCCGGGCCU
Molecule: ribosomal RNA, 1341 nt
Filed under: uncultured bacterium
Lineage: Bacteria
Description: partial 16S ribosomal RNA
Rfam family: Bacterial small subunit ribosomal RNA
Source: RNAcentral